This 295-nucleotide long non-coding RNA is filed under the name Mytilus galloprovincialis (Mediterranean mussel). The record is from RNAcentral. Lineage: Eukaryota; Metazoa; Mollusca; Bivalvia; Mytilida; Mytilidae.
GGGGGUCAAUCGACUAUUUUGGUCAUAGUGACUUAUUUUUAGUUCUUACUUUGCUGUACAUUAUUGCUGUUUACAGUUUAUCUCUAUCUAUUAUAAUAUUCAAGAUAACAAAAAAAACAGCAAAAUUUCCUCAAAAUUACCAAUUCAGGGGCAGCAACCUAACAACCGAUUAUCCGAUUCAUCUGAAAAUUUCAGGGCAGAUAGAUCGUGACCUGAUCAACAAUUUUACUUCCUGUCAGAUUUGCUCUUAAUGCUUUGGUUUUUGAGUUAUAAGCCAAAAACUGCAUUUUACCCC